CCGGCACGGGUGAGUAACACGUAUCCAACCUGCCGUCUACUCUUGGACAGCCUUCUGAAAGGAAAGAUUAAUACAAGAUGGCAUCAUGAGUCCACAUGUUCACAUGAUUAAAGGUAUUCCGGUAGACGAUGGGGAUGCGUUCCAUUAGAUAGUAGGCGGGGUAACGGCCCACCUAGUCUUCGAUGGAUAGGGGUUCUGAGAGGAAGGUCCCCCACAUUGGAACUGAGACACGGUCCAA
Molecule: ribosomal RNA, 238 nt
Filed under: uncultured bacterium
Lineage: Bacteria
Description: partial 16S ribosomal RNA
Rfam family: Bacterial small subunit ribosomal RNA
Source: RNAcentral